Molecule: ribosomal RNA, 119 nt
Filed under: Aegilops tauschii subsp. strangulata
Lineage: Eukaryota; Viridiplantae; Streptophyta; Magnoliopsida; Poales; Poaceae
Source: RNAcentral
GGAUGCGAUCAUACCAGCACUAAAGCACCGGAUCCCAUCAGAACUCCGAAGUUAAGCGUGCUUGGGCGAGAGUAGUACUAGGAUGGGUGACCUUCUGGGAAGUCCCUGUGUUGCAUUCC